Sipha flava (yellow sugarcane aphid) is the source of this 453-nucleotide long non-coding RNA. RefSeq lists it as uncharacterized. NCBI's taxonomy places the organism in Eukaryota, Metazoa, Arthropoda, Insecta, Hemiptera, Aphididae. The record is from RefSeq and is a predicted model, not a curated record. The transcript has 3 exons.
AUUAAAGGAACGUCACGACAAGGGGAGUUCAAUGCACUGCACGAUCCAGGAGACUUCAUAUGCGAUCCGUUACUGGACUCUAUAGCAAUGCGAGAGGUAUCAUCAAGGACAAUCCAGUUGCCGAAAAACUUUUGAUGACAGAUCUUGUUCGAUGACCACCAAAAGAGUUGCUAGUGGAAUAUUUUGAUGAACUCAUAGUAUUUGGUGAAGGCGGUAAAGUUGGGCACAAGUUUGCAGAUACAGAAUAAACUGAAUGAUGGGAGGAAGAUUAAAAUCAAUUAAUUCAUGUUUACUAAUAAAUUGAUAGUAUUCAAAAUAUGCAAAUAAUGGAAGAAUUGAUGUAAAUAAUGUAUAUAUGAAAACCAUGUCAUAAUUCAAUGAAAAAGAUAAAUCGGCUUUUAAGAAAUUUAUAAUAUUUAUAUUUGUGCAUCCAUAAACAAAAUUGAAUCCGUU